RNAcentral lists this ribosomal RNA (425 nucleotides) under uncultured Glomeromycotina. Its description in RNAcentral is "SSU rRNA". It matches the Rfam family "Eukaryotic small subunit ribosomal RNA", at positions 670 to 1092 of the family's 1831-position model. The record is from RNAcentral. Lineage: Eukaryota; Fungi; Glomeromycota.
AUUGUCUGUACUGGUGAGAUGAGUCUCUACCUUCUGAGGAACUUUCAUGCCAUUCGUUUGGUGUGAUGGGAAAUCAGGACUGUUACUUUGAAAAAAUUAGAGUGUUUAAAGCAGGCUAACGUCUGAAUACAUUAGCAUGGAAUAAUGAAAUAGGACGGAUUGAUUCUAUUUCGUUGGUUUCUAGGGUCACCGUAAUGAUUAAUAGGGAUAGUUGGGGGCAUUAGUAUUCAAUUGUCAGAGGUGAAAUUCUUGGAUUUAUUGAAGACUAACUACUGCGAAAGCAUUUGCCAAGGAUGUUUUCAUUAAUCAAGAACGAAAGUUAGGGGAUCGAAGACGAUCAGAUACCGUCGUAGUCUUAACCAUAAACUAUGCCGACUGGGGAUCGGACGCAGGUAAUUUUAUAAUGACGUGUUCGGCACCUUACG